Molecule: ribosomal RNA, 373 nt
Filed under: uncultured bacterium
Lineage: Bacteria
Description: bacterial SSU rRNA
Rfam family: Bacterial small subunit ribosomal RNA
Source: RNAcentral
AUUGAACGCUGGCGGCAUGCCUAACACAUGCAAGUCGAACGGGGUAGCAAUACCCAGUGGCGGACGGGUGAGGAAUACAUAGGAAUUUGCCUUUAGGUGGGGGAUAGCCCGGGGAAACUCGGAGUAAUACCGCAUGAUGUCGAAAGACCAAAGUAGGGGAUCGCAAGACCUUGCGCCUUUAGAGAAGCCUAUGUCUGAUUAGCUAGUUGGUAGGGUAAUGGCCUACCAAGGCGACGANCAGUAACUGGUCUGAGAGGACGAUCAGUCACACCGGAACUGAGACACGGUCCGGACUCCUACGGGAGGCAGCAGGUGGGAAUAGUUGGACAAUGGGCGAAAGCCUGAUCCAGCAAUGCCGCGUGUGUGAAGAAGG